RNAcentral lists this transfer RNA (87 nucleotides) under Nitratiruptor sp. SB155-2. RNAcentral's name for it is "tRNA-Leu (CAA) (tRNA-Leu-CAA-1-1)". It matches the Rfam family "tRNA". Rfam says of the family: Transfer RNA (tRNA) molecules are approximately 80 nucleotides in length. Their secondary structure includes four short double-helical elements and three loops (D, anti-codon, and T loops). Further hydrogen bonds mediate the characteristic L-shaped molecular structure. tRNAs have two regions of fundamental functional importance: the anti-codon, which is responsible for specific mRNA codon recognition, and the 3' end, to which the tRNAs corresponding amino acid is attached (by aminoacyl-tRNA synthetases). tRNAs cope with the degeneracy of the genetic code in two manners: having more than one tRNA (with a specific anti-codon) for a particular amino acid; and 'wobble' base-pairing, i.e. permitting non-standard base-pairing at the 3rd anti-codon position. RNAcentral also lists the same sequence under 1 other name. Lineage: Bacteria; Pseudomonadati; Campylobacterota; Epsilonproteobacteria; Nautiliales; Nitratiruptoraceae. The record is from RNAcentral.
GCCGGGGUGGUGAAACUGGUAGACACGCGAGACUCAAAAUCUCGUGGGCAUUUGCCCGUGUGGGUUCGAGUCCCACCCCCGGCACCA